AACGCACAUUGCGCCCUCCAGUAUCCUGGAGGGCAUGCCUGUUCGAGCGUCACUACAACACUCAAGCUCUGCUUGGCGUUGGGGCCCUAUGACUUUACCGUCGUAUGCCCUUAAAAUCAGUGGCGGGACCGCUGGGGACCCGGGCGAAGUAACUAUUACAGCGUCAAGGGAUAUCUAGCCGGUCUCCUGCCGUAAAAACGAUUAUUUAUAUCUCAGUGUUGACCUCGGAUCAGGUAGGAAUACCCGCUGAACUUAA
This 256-nucleotide unclassified non-coding RNA is filed under the name uncultured fungus. RNAcentral's name for it is "partial contains 5.8S ribosomal RNA, internal transcribed spacer 2, and large subunit ribosomal RNA". The stretch from base 1 to 52 matches the Rfam family "5.8S ribosomal RNA", at positions 103 to 154 of the family's 154-position model. Lineage: Eukaryota; Fungi. The record is from RNAcentral.